GGGCCCGUGGUCUAGUGGUUAGUUCUCAUCAGCAAUUUGAUUUUUUUGUAAAUGUGUUGUGGAACCCAUUAAUGACGUCACCUUGACAUGGUGAAGACCGAGUGUUCAAUUCACUCCGGGCCCA
RNAcentral lists this transfer RNA (124 nucleotides) under archaeon. Its description in RNAcentral is "tRNA-Val". The record is from RNAcentral.